CUCCAGUGAUGAUAUUCCACUUCAGGUCCGUGUUUCUGACAACUGAUUAUGCUGGAAGUUCUGAGAGC
Small nucleolar RNA from Danio rerio (zebrafish), 68 nucleotides. Its record names the gene SNORD18. It matches the Rfam family "Small nucleolar RNA SNORD18". Rfam says of the family: U18 is a member of the C/D class of snoRNA which contain the C (UGAUGA) and D (CUGA) box motifs. It is encoded in introns of ribosomal protein L1 in Xenopus and human, and in introns of elongation factor 1 beta in yeast. The record is from Ensembl. NCBI's taxonomy places the organism in Eukaryota, Metazoa, Chordata, Actinopteri, Cypriniformes, Danionidae.